AGAGCCCAGAGAGGGAAGAGAAGAAACCCAGCGUUGGUGCGGUGCCCACCGCGGACUCGACUUCAUUCCACCUUCACGCUGAGAGGUGACACCGUCGUUCCCACAGUGAGACCUGGCGCUCGGGUGCCCCAGGGGGGGUUGCCCAAGGUCACAGAACAGCAAGCAGCAGGCCAAGAUACCUAGAGAGAGUUCGCGGGGCCGGAGGCUCCCUGCUGUCUCCUGCAAGUGCGUGGGGGUGGGGUCUGAUUUCCACCCGUGUUGGACGUCAGCGGCCUCCGACGCUUUUUGGAAGCAGACUUUUCAGGAACACCUGCUGUGUGGCCGGCACUGUAGUAGGUGCCAGGGAUACAAAGAAGAAACUUUCAGGGCUCUUAGGAAGACAGGAAAACAAGUCAAUCAGCAAUGGUCCUAGCGUGAGCCUAUAACUCAGCAUGAACAUCGGCCUUCCGGGUGUUGUGUUCAUCAUGAAUGAGAAGACGUGCAACCUGGUGUAUGGGGGCCGGAGUAAGGGCCUAAGACAAGCUCAUCCACACAUGACCUUGACAUGAAAACGGUGUGGACUCGGCUAACUUGGCUUCACCCUGCGUUCCCCAACAGCACUUUGUGAACCACUCUCUCAGUCUUUUUCUUUCAGUAACGUUUUGUGUCCUCCCAAAUUAUAAAAGUAAUGCAUGCUUUACUCAGCUACUCUCAAUACAGAAAAGUUCAAAACAAAAAACCAAACAGCCAUGUGUAGUGGCUCAUGCCGGUAAUUCCAGCACUUUGGGAGGAAAAAGGAUCACUUGAGCUCAGGAGUUCGAGACCAUCCUGGGCAACAUAGCAAGACUCUCGUCUGUACAAAAAAAAAUUAAACAUCAGCCAGUCAUGGCUGCAUGCAUUUGUAGUCCCAGCUACUUGGGAGGCUAAGGUGGGAGGAUUGCUUGAGCCCACGAGGUCGAGGUUGCAGUGAGCUGUGGUUGUGCCACUGUACUCCAGCCUGGGUAACAGAGCAAGACCUUGUCUCAAAAACAAAACAAAAUAAAACAAACACUCAUUUCUACAUCAUUCAAAAAAAUUGGUUCAUAUUGUUCUCUCAACAUUUUCCUCUUACACAAUUUCUUUGCCAUAAUGAUAAUUCCAGUUUUCUAAGCACUAGGCAGUGCUGUAAGCCCUCUGCAUGUAUUAACUCAUUUGAUACUAUCUCUGUACCCUGGGAUGUGGAUCUCCAUCCUUACAUGAAUUCAUGCACUCCCUCCUUCGUUCAUUCAGCAGACUUUUCAGGAACACCUGCUGUAAGCCUGGCACUGUGGUAGGUGCCAGGGAUAUAAAGAAGAAAAUUUCAGGGGUUUUAGGAAGACAGCCAAACAAGUCAAUCAGCCAUGACCCUAUCAUGAUGAGGAAACUGAGGUUCUGAAUGAUUAGAUGACUCACCCGAUAUCACACAGCUGGUAAGCACGUGAACCAGGAUGAGAAACCCAGGCUAUCUAUGCCAGUGCCCAGUUAACCAGUUCACCAGAACACCAGAAGCCGCCCCCAGGGCUGCAAGCUGACCAUGCCUGGGACACAGGAGGUUGCAGUGGUGAAGAUCAACAGGCGGGGCGAGGAGCAUCUCCGUCUCCCUCUGAAGACCAUUUGGAAGAGGGUGUGAGAGCUGCCGCCAGGCUUUCCCAGAGAACAGCUGGGCCUGGAAGGGGCGGUCCAGGUCCCAUAAUAACUGCUACCUGCUGCUGCAGCAAUUUUCCCUGCUGGGUGUUUCCAAGUCCGAGUCUCCUGGGGGAGGAGGCUGGGAGGAGGAGGAGGAGGAGGGCUGAUUCUCUAAACUCCCCCUGCUUCUCACCAAAGGUCUGUCCUUGGCCCAGCUUCCCUUCCGAAGGUUGAGUAAUCUCAAAAAAUUGCAGCCUGGCAUGAAAGAGCAGGCCUGCAGGCCAAGCCAGAUCACGUCCGCACGCGGGAUGCUUGGCCCACAUGCUCCUGUACACUUGUAACUGUUAAACCAGAGGACAAGAAGCAACAGAUGUCCUCAGAUCACCAAACCAGCAAAUGCGCAGAGCCAUGGUGGGCGUCUGGCCCCAGUGCUUGGGUGGCCCCUAACAUCAGAUUAAGGAAAAAAGACCUCUCCUCAGCUGGAACGUCCCACUUCCUCCUCCCUCCUCCUCACCAGUAUUUUUCUCUCUGCUUUGCCUGGAUUGGAGUCCUGACCUGGCUACUCCCAGCUGUGUGAACUGGGCCAGCAACUUAGCUCCGUUGUGCCUCAGUUUCUCCAUCUCUAAAUGAAGCGCUUAUUCCUCUCUCAUGGAGCCGUCGUGAGAAUUACGUGAAUGAAUACAGGCUGACUACUUUGAACAGUGCCUGGUACGUAAAGCCCUGUACACUGUAGCUUUUGCUGAUGGUGGUAGACACUCUGCUAUUUAGAGAGGUGUUCUUUCUCUCGAGGCUUUGAUUCCUGCUAAAACAGAAAUCAUUUGGAAAUGGACACUUUUUCUGCCAUUUAGAGAGGUAUUCUUUGUCUUGAGCCUUUGAUUCCUGUUAAAAUAGAAAUGAUUCAAAAAUGAA
Homo sapiens (human) is the source of this 2532-nucleotide long non-coding RNA. RefSeq lists it as uncharacterized. NCBI's taxonomy places the organism in Eukaryota, Metazoa, Chordata, Mammalia, Primates, Hominidae. The record is from RefSeq and is a predicted model, not a curated record. The transcript is spliced from 5 exons.